CAAACAUCUCUGUCGUAUGACUAUUCAGUCAGAAUCAAAUUUGAUAAUAAUAAUAAUAAUAAACAAACAAACACUAGAGAGACUACAAGUAGUGCCAUAUCCAUAAUACGCAUAUUAACAAGUACAACUUUUUCUGCUUUUUGCUCGCUCUUUUUAUUCGACACAGCCCUAUGUACAACUCUACUUGCCCACUUUGGUCGACUAAGAAGGUUAUUGUAGCGAAUUAUAGUGAACUACUUCCCGG
Molecule: unclassified non-coding RNA, 244 nt
Filed under: Hevea brasiliensis (rubber tree)
Lineage: Eukaryota; Viridiplantae; Streptophyta; Magnoliopsida; Malpighiales; Euphorbiaceae
Source: RNAcentral